CCUACGGGUGGCAGCAGUCGAGAAUCAUUCACAAUGGGGGAAACCCUGAUGGUGCGACGCCGCGUGGGGGAAUGAAGGUCUUCGGAUUGUAACCCCCUGUCAUGUUGGAGCCAAUUAAAAAGAUAGUACCACAAGAGGAAGCGACGGCUAACUCUGUGCCAGCAGCCGCGGUACUACAGAGGUCUCAAGCGUUGUUCGGAAUCACUGGGCGUAAAGCUUGCGUAGGCUGGUUCGUACGUCAUGUGUGAAAGGCGCGGGCUCAACCCGCGGACGGCACAUGAUACUGCGAGACUAGAGUAAUGGAGGGGGAACCGGAAGUCUCGGUGUAGCAGUGAAAUGCGUAGAUAUCGAGAGGAACACUCGUGGCGAAGGCGGGUUCCUGGACAUUAACUGACGCUGAGGCACGAAGGCCAGGGGAGCGAAAGGGAUUAGAUACCCCAGUAGUC
RNAcentral lists this ribosomal RNA (446 nucleotides) under uncultured bacterium. RNAcentral describes it as "partial 16S ribosomal RNA". It matches the Rfam family "Bacterial small subunit ribosomal RNA", at positions 338 to 795 of the family's 1533-position model. The record is from RNAcentral.